This is a long non-coding RNA of Oncorhynchus kisutch (coho salmon), 1851 nucleotides long. RefSeq lists it as uncharacterized. The transcript is spliced from 2 exons. NCBI's taxonomy places the organism in Eukaryota, Metazoa, Chordata, Actinopteri, Salmoniformes, Salmonidae. The record is from RefSeq and is a predicted model, not a curated record.
UGGUGAGUCGGGUGAGAGGAGGGAUGGUGAGUCGGGUGAGAGGAGGAAUGGUGAGUCGGGUGAGAGGAGGGAUGGUGAGUCGGGUGAGAGGCAGCCUCACCGCUGCUCCCUGCCUCCCCUCAGACUGAACAUCAGAUGCUGGCCGUUAGUCCAGUUUAAAAAAUGUAAAAAGGCCAUUAUUAUGCUCUCAGCUGUGUCUCACAGGUAAUACAACAAAUCUAUUACCAGUGUGAUCAUAUACCAAUUUUUUUUAAAUAUAAUUUCAACAUGAUCUGAGAAGAACAACAUUGGCAGGGCAAUUCAAGAGUAGCCUAUAUGCAGUGAUAAUGUAUUGGGCCUAUAGCCUACUGCACAAAUCUCAUUGCUACAAAACUGCGUUCAAUUGGUUAAUGUUACAUAGGCUUACGUUUUUUAAGUAAUGUUUAAAUCUGAGUGGUAGGAUCUCAGCUUGCAUUUUGUCUCGGAAAGUGAUCUUGACUCAGAAAAGGUUGGUGACCACUGCUUUACAUGGUCUGUAUUCCUGUGUAUUUAUUCCCGUUCAGGACAGUUGUUUCUGCAGAUAAGUUACUUAGUUGUACUGUGAUGCUGGUAAAACUGAUACCAGUAUGCAAACUGCUGUAUGGCUGACACCAUUGAAAUGUUUGGACUUUGGAGGCAGUUCUGUGAUGGCAGUUACCCCAGUAAAGGCAAUCGGAUGGAGAUGGUUUGGGAUGUGAGGAAGAAAGCGUUUCCAGCGGGAACAGCUGACAGACUGAUUGAUGUGUGCCUUUUUCAAUAUUUUAUUUAUUUUUUACAUUCCUCUUUAAACCAAUAAGCUAUUCACUCAUUGCAUGUACUGCACAUACAGUUGAACGCGGAAGUUUACAUACACCUUAGCCAGAUACAUUUAAACUCAGUUUUCACAAUUCUUGACAUUUAAUCCUAGUAAAAAUUUCCUGUUUUAGGUCAAUUGGACCAUUCCUCCUGACAGAGCUGGUGUAACUGAGUCAGUCUGUAGAAAACAACUUGGUCAAAGCGCAUCUUGAACCUUCACCCGACUCUCAUUGACAUCAAGGAAUGGUUUUCAGGAAACUUCCACUCGCAUGCAUUUUUCAAGUCUUGCCAUUACUCUGUACGCUUACAUUGAUUGAUUGUUUAACAUCAAUAUGAUCAGAUAGAAUUUAACAUUACAAUAUGUAUAGAUUUGAUUCCAACUUGUUGUAUUGACUUUUUACUUCAUUGGUUAAACGUCUGUAGACAUGGUGGCGUUUUGUAGAUUGUGUAAGGAUACACAGGGUGUGUUUAGAAUGGAAUCGGGCCAACAUACUGCUUCUAGAAUGAAGUGGCAGAGGGAGUCAGUAUAAAUGAAUCUGAAUUAAAUUUUGAAUCAGAAUCUGAAGUUAUAGAAAUUGGCAAGGGGGUGUUCAAGUUUUAUUGAAAUUAUAAUGGGUCCUUUUACUGAUAACUACAUGUUUUUUCUUUGUAGCUCAUAUUUAUGUGGUAAUGUCAGUUGGCAAUGAAGAUAAUUCAUUUUAGGGCUGAAUUAAAAUGUUAUUUAGUUGCUAGGUUCCUGCUCCAUAGACUACUGAUUGUGCCCAAUUGUUGGUGAAGAUAAUUUAGGCACACUAAUGAAUGUGGUACCAACUUGCAUGUUCCGCUGCUCAAGAGUCUCUAAUUUAUCAGGGUAUAGGGGUCAUUUUAAUAUUAGGCUACUGCUUAUGUCCUUCCAGCUUCCACUUAUCUGCCUUUGCGUGUAGUGGAGACAACUACAAGCUGCUCCAGUAAACACUGUAGGCGGAUUGUAUUUGUUGUGAUGAACUUAUUGGUGACACACUUUUACUAUUAUGUUUCUUAAUAAACCACUCAAAUCUA